Molecule: long non-coding RNA, 693 nt
Filed under: Nicotiana tabacum (common tobacco)
Lineage: Eukaryota; Viridiplantae; Streptophyta; Magnoliopsida; Solanales; Solanaceae
Description: long non-coding RNA (NTAB_LNC014978)
Source: RNAcentral
AUGUCAUGGGCGGCUUUCCAGCCAUGCCCCAUGAUCCCUUGGACGCGCCCCGUGGCGUCCUGGCCAGCCUCCCAACGCCCGUCGCCACGGUCGGCCCCGUGGUCUCGGCAGCUCCAAGUGACAAGCGCGCAUGUGCCUCUGUCGCCCCACCGAUAGCCAUCGCCAGCGCCCAGCCACAGGCAAAAGCCAACAGCGCCGCGCGCGCAGACAAUGCCGCGCGCGCAGACCCUGAUGCUAAAGACAAAGUUGCUGCCAACGGACUUGCUGCUGCUUUGUAGAAGACUAAGUCCUUUUCAUUGUAAAUAUAGAGUAGUUUUGCUGCAUUUUCUUUAAGUGUGAUUUUCCAGCUUUCAUAGGUCUAGUCAUGUAACUUUGGUUUAUUUCUUUUAAGCAUUAUUAAGGGGGACCAAGCAAUCAAAACUUUCAAGCAAGCAAACAAUUCUCUGUACUGGUGUCUCUCCCCCCCGACACCGUCUUGUUUUCUGUAAUAGCUUUCAUUCAAUGCAAUCAAGCUUUCUUUCAUUCUCAAUUCUCUUUUCUGCUCUCUCCAAUUGCUCAUGACAUUGGUUUUCCCGUACGGCACUGACAAUCUAGUCUAGCGUACGGAGGGGACCUCAGUUGGCGGACAGCAACCAUACUGACAUCGGUUGCCUAGCCUUACGUCGCCCUUCCAAGGAACUUCAGGAAGGCGCC